Non-coding RNA from Ictidomys tridecemlineatus (thirteen-lined ground squirrel), 4477 nucleotides. The record is from RefSeq and is a predicted model, not a curated record. NCBI's taxonomy places the organism in Eukaryota, Metazoa, Chordata, Mammalia, Rodentia, Sciuridae.
AGACAAGCAGAUUUUUGAGAAUGGUUUAGUUCAGAAAUAGCACUGAUAAAACCAGAUUCUUUUGUAUGUGGGCUAACAAAAACAAAAUUCAGGCAUAUGUUAGAAACCCUUAGACUUCCAAAAUUCUGAAGGCAAGAAUUAAGGAUGUUGAGCCAUUAAGCUGCAAAUAUGUAUGACCCUUUAAGGAAAAGGCAGAAUGGACUUUAAGGCAGAUGCUUGUGGAGCAAGGGCAAGAGUGAAUAAACUAAAUGGAAUCUGAGGCCUGGGUCCAUCUUUGAGUCUAGUGAGGGGAGCUGCAAGUCAAAGAUUACCGUCCAGGCCUUAAAACCUAACAAAAUUUUUCUUGCUAGAUUUGAACUUGAUUAGGACUGGUGAACCUCCUUUACAUAUAAUUUCUUUCUUCUGAAAUGGAAUAUAUAUGUUAUAUCAGUCCUACCAUCAAUUUUGAAGGCAAAUAAUUUGCUUUCUACAUUCAUAGUUCCACAAAUGGAGAGUAAUUUUAUUUGAUUUUGGAUUAUAUCCAGAGUCUAACCUAUUUAAAUGAGUUAAAUGAUGAGUUGUAAUUUUGAGCUACAGAGAUGAUGAUAUAGAGAUGAUGAUACAGAGAUGAGAUUCUAGUUGAGAUUUCUGGGGAUGGUAGGAUUGAUUAAAUAUAUUUUGCACAUAAGAUGCACAUGAAUUCUGACAGGCCAGAGGAUGACUACAGUAGGUUAAAUUGUCACUUCCAUAAAGAUACUUUUUCAUCUGAAACCUUGAUAUUGGUAAAUGUUAACUUCUUUGAGAAAAGAAUUUUUGCAUAUGUAAUGAAAUUGAGGUUUUUCAAUUAAGAAACCAUUCUGGAUUAUCUUUGUCUGACCCAAAUCCAAUGAAAAGUGAUAUUAUAUGGGUAUUCCAGAAGAAUCUUUGAUAUAACAGAAAAUGAGAUCAUAUAAAGAAGGGAAGGAUGUGAUGUGAACACAGAGGGAGACAUAGGUGUAGUGUGACUACAAUCCAAGAAAGAUGAGGAAUUUCAAUUAGCAAAGAAACUGGAAUAUUCAAGGGAGGAAAUUUCCUCUACAGAAUGUGGAGGCAGUGUGGCCUUUCCAACAUACUGAUGCUCACUUCUUUCUUCCAUGGUUGUUAAGAAGUAAAUUGGAAUUUUAUUACAGCAAACACAGGAAACUAAUAUGCCCUAAUAAUUUUCUUUCAUAUUUAAUUGCAUAUCAGGACUAUUUCUCUGAGGUCCUGGACUAAAACAACUGAGAAAGAUUUUAUCAGCUGGAUCUGAGAAUCAUAGAUAUUUCUUUCAGAUAUGUUAAAUAUAAGAUGUCUCUAACAUAUUUAAAUGGGAAUAUUAUGUAAGCACUUCAGUGUAUAAUUCCAACGACCAGUAGAAAUGCCAAUGUUGAUGAUGUGAAUGUGGUAACAUUGACACUAAGAGGUAUGAGACCAAAUGUAUCCUGUUUUACAGGUUAUGACUUAAAAAAAGGAGAUGGGUAUGCCAUUCCCUGGAGGAUUUCAGCAUUUCAAGUGCCAUAAGAGAACAAGAGGAGUAGAAGAAAUAAUGAGGAACUCCUACUAUGUUCACAAGUUUCAAUACUGCUCCUGAAAUUUGGCCACUACCAAGAAGGUGCUUGCGGUUUUGUGUGAAGAUGUGUACCACCUCCAAGCCCCAUGAAAUGGCCUUCUAUUGGCUUGGUGAAGGGAAUGUUGAACAUCACUGUGAAACUCAGAAACUACUGUGAAAGAGUCAUACUUUCUUGGAAUCUACUGAUCGGUGGGUGUUGAAAUGACACGAAAGCACUGAGGAGGGGCUUUUCCUGAGAAUGAAGGUACAGGAUUACUGCUGGAUCAUGAGAACUCUGUAUGGCCUCAAGCAAGUUAUUUCCCCUCAUCCUGAUAAACAGAGUGAAGUCCCUGGCAGGCUGUCCUCGCCUGAUAAAAGGGAAAGGCAAGAAGAUCAGGGUGGAGACCACCAGACCACAUCUUUCUGACCCCAGGGUAAAUGAUGUCAUGGAGAAAUAUUGUGGUAACUGAUGAAGAUUGAAAGGGGAGUCAAAAGACCCCAAAUUUAGUAUACAUAAUAAAGCUGAUGAACAGGGAUUCAGCCAGUCAAAACAAGGAUGCACUCGAGCUGGAGAGCCUGAUGAGGACUUGACAUCCAAUCACUUGUCAUUCUUCCUGAUCCUCUGAGUGAUUCUCACCACUCUCAAAAUUUACUGUUUCAUCUGUACCUCGGUGAGAGCCAUAAUUUCUCCCUAUGACCCUCUCCUCAACUGGUCAGCCACUCCACUCCAGGAAAAGCCUGCCUUGGUUCUGGACCUGAUCACCGUGGUCUAAGUGAGUGCAUCUGCUGGACAUAAAGCCUAAGGCUUAAGACUUUUGAACUCAGCAUGCAGAGGGAAUGUCUGUCCUUAGCCUGUCAUGAUUAAUUGUGUUUUUGCAGUGUUUAGAAUUAAUCUAGAGUUGUUUCCUGUGAAUUGAUUAAUCUAGAAUUGUUUGCUGUGAAUUGAUUAUGUCUAUUGCAGUGCCUAGCAUUAAGGAUUGUCAUUUUCUUGAUUAAGAACCUAUAGAGUAAAACUGUAUUGAGUAAUUUCAGUGAAUAAAGUAUUGAAAGAGGCAGAAGCAUGUAGACAUUCUUUAUUUCUCCCCUAGACUGCAUAUGUCACAAUUUGGCCCCCCUCAUGACAGUUGGCAUACUCAGCAGUCAAGGAAACAGAUACUUAAUGUCUGGGAGAAAUGUCUUGUCCUGCCUGUGUGGCAACAACAUACAAAAUUCAGAAACUUUUUUUAUAAGACUGUUAAACUUAUUAUGACAUUUAUAUUGGCAAUUAUAGCAAUAACCUAACCGGAUAUUACACCUUCUGCAAAGACAUGUAUCAAAUUGGUAAUAACACCAUACAGAUACACCAUCAUAUAGCAAACUACACAAUGUGCUUCCUAGACAGAUACAUACAAAAGCACAUGAACUGGAUAGGAAAGAUACCUAGAAAAUCAAAUUGCAAAAGCACUAAAACAAAUAGACACAGAUACAUCUUUUGUGAGGUAUUAUAGUAAAAAGUAUACUAAAUUGGUCUACAGCAUAUUGACAAAAUGAGGAAAUUAAAGAACAUCUUUAAAAAGAAAGAAAGUAGCAAGGAACUUAGCUCUGCUAGUCCCUGGAGAGAACAGUGCAAGGGAAACUGCCAGGAUUUACCAAGAGAACUAAAGGAAUCGAUAUCCUCCCUAUCCCACCCAGAGGGAGUUAAGCCAAUUAUUGCUAGAGCCACUCCAAAAUAAAUCCCAGGAUUGCUAGUUAAAACUAUUAAUGACAUAUGUGAAGUUAGAACUAAAGGAAAAACCUUAGUAGGAACGGCAAAAAAGUCACCCAGACAAUUGUGAAGUUUUACUGGUAACUACACUAAAGGUGACCAAAAUGCCAAGGAAAGGGGGUCAGAUGAUAGUGAUAAUGAACAGGAAGUUGAAGUGAGAACUUUUAGUAGAAUACAGCUGCAGCAGUUAAGGAAUAAAUUUGCCCAGAAGGGAGGGAGCGAGAUGUAGAAUUUUUAUCAAGACUGUGGGAACAUGGAGCCCACACCAUUAGAGUUAAGGGAGAUGAAAUGAUGCAAUACCCUCUAUAGUAAAAAAUGAAUCUAUAUAUGAGGGUUUAGUGGCUGAAACUAGUGAGAAAAGGUUGCAGGAACACACUAUCCUGGAAUGGAUAAAAUUAGCUUGAGUGUGGGCAUUUCCCAUGAUAGAUACAGGCAGUUUUGGAUCACAGAUACAAUGGAUUACACAUCAACAGGCUAAUAAAUUAACUAGAAAAUUAGGAAUAUAUUUUAUGAUAUACAAUACACACACACACAUACACACACACACACACACACACACACACACACACUCAUACAUGUAACAUGACGUUACAGGCAGAGCUGUUACCUCAGAUGAAAAGUCUAAUAAUUAUAGGUGGUCCACCUCAUCUCUGAGUAACUUUAACAUCAGCAUUACAAGGCAUGCAUACACAACAAGAUGUAGUUACUUAUUUUAAGGAAGCUAAAUAGCUGAAUAGUGCUAGAUCUUUUUCUUUCCCAGCUUAAUCCUCAUCACAACAGUUUACUGUUCCAGCUUAGUCCUCACAAAACCAGAUUAGAUUCCCUAAUCAUAACAACAGACAGCAAAGGCAGCCUUGUGUAAACACAAAGCCACCCAGAAGAAAGGCCCUGUCAGGGAGGGGUUUCACACCCAGGAGGCCCAGGAGCAGUACACCAUUAAGAAGACAAGGCCAGAGACUCCACUCAGGAUGCAGAGUUCAUUCAAACAGAGGACCCAUACCAAACAACAAGCAAAGAAGAAAAAACAACAACUUACCCAAACACAACAGCAACUUCAGGCACACAAACACACCAAUUUUAAUAGGUACAUGACGUUCAACAGACAAGGAAACCAGGAGUCAGACAACAUUUUCAAUAUUAUAACAACCUGGGAAUAAUAGAAUAUAUAGAGAUUUACCUUUAAAAAA